AUACGUAGGGUGCAAGCGUUAAUCGGAAUUACUGGGCGUAAAGCGUGCGCAGGCGGUUUUGUAAGGCAGAGGUGAAAUCCCCGGGCUCAACCUGGGGACUGCCUUUGUGACUGAAAGGCUAGAGAACGGCCGCGGGGGGUGGAAUUCCGCGGGUAGCAGUGAAAUGCGUAGAUAUGCGGAGGAACACCGAUGGCGAAGGCAAUCCCCUGGGCCUGUACUGACGCUCAUGCACGAAAGCGUGGGGAGCAAACAGGAUUAGAUACCCUGGUAGUCCACGCCCUAAACGAUGUCAACUGGUUGUUGGGUCUUCAUUGACUCAGUAACGAAGCUAACGCGUGAAGUUGACCGCCUGGGGAGUACGGCCGCGAGGUUGAAACUCAAAUGAAUUGACGGGG
RNAcentral lists this ribosomal RNA (395 nucleotides) under uncultured bacterium. RNAcentral describes it as "partial 16S ribosomal RNA". It matches the Rfam family "Bacterial small subunit ribosomal RNA", at positions 523 to 918 of the family's 1533-position model. The record is from RNAcentral.